GAUGAACGCUGGCGGCGUGCCUAAUACAUGCAAGUCGAGCGAACGGACGAGAAGCUUGCUUCUCUGAUGUUAGCGGCGGACGGGUGAGUAACACGUGGAUAACCUACCUAUAAGACUGGGAUAACUUCGGGAAACCGGAGCUAAUACCGGAUAAUAUUUUGAACCGCAUGGUUCAAAAGUAAAAGACGGUCUUGCUGUCACUUAUAGAUGGAUCCGCGCUGCAUUAGCUAGUUGGUAAGGUAACGGCUUACCAAGGCAACGAUGCAUAGCCGACCUGAGAGGGUGAUCGGCCACACUGGAACUGAGACACGGUCCAGACUCCUACGGGAGGCAGCAGUAGGGAAUCUUCCGCAAUGGGCGAAAGCCUGACGGAGCAACGCCGCGUGAGUGAUGAAGGUCUUCGGAUCGUAAAACUCUGUUAUUAGGGAAGAAUAUAUGUGUAAGUAACUGUGCACAUCUUGACGGUACCUAAUCAGAAAGCCACGGCUAACUACGUGCCAGCAGCCGCGGUAAUACGUAGGUGGCAAGCGUUAUCCGGAAUUAUUGGGCGUAAAGCGCGCGUAGGCGGUUUUUUAAGUCUGAUGUGAAAGCCCACGGCUCAACCGUGGAGGGUCAUUGGAAACUGGAAAACUUGAGUGCAGAAGAGGAAAGUGGAAUUCCAUGUGUAGCGGUGAAAUGCGCAGAGAUAUGGAGGAACACCAGUGGCGAAUGCGACUUUCUGGUCUGUAACUGACGCUGAUGUGCGAAAGCGUGGGGAUCAAACAGGAUUAGAUACCCUGGUAGUCCACGCCGUAAACGAUGAGUGCUAAGUGUUAGGGGGUUUCCGCCCCUUAGUGCUGCAGCUAACGCAUUAAGCACUCCGCCUGGGGAGUACGACCGCAAGGUUGAAACUCAAAGGAAUUGACGGGGACCCGCACAAGCGGUGGAGCAUGUGGUUUAAUUCGAAGCAACGCGAAGAACCUUACCAAAUCUUGACAUCCUUUGACAACUCUAGAGAUAGAGCCUUCCCCUUCGGGGGACAAAGUGACAGGUGGUGCAUGGUUGUCGUCAGCUCGUGUCGUGAGAUGUUGGGUUAAGUCCCGCAACGAGCGCAACCCUUAAGCUUAGUUGCCAUCAUUAAGUUGGGCACUCUAAGUUGACUGCCGGUGACAAACCGGAGGAAGGUGGGGAUGACGUCAAAUCAUCAUGCCCCUUAUGAUUUGGGCUACACACGUGCUACAAUGGACAAUACAAAGGGCAGCGAAACCGCGAGGUCAAGCAAAUCCCAUAAAGUUGUUCUCAGUUCGGAUUGUAGUCUGCAACUCGACUACAUGAAGCUGGAAUCGCUAGUAAUCGUAGAUCAGCAUGCUACGGUGAAUACGUUCCCGGGUCU
RNAcentral lists this ribosomal RNA (1372 nucleotides) under uncultured bacterium. RNAcentral's name for it is "bacterial SSU rRNA". It matches the Rfam family "Bacterial small subunit ribosomal RNA", at positions 28 to 1381 of the family's 1533-position model. The record is from RNAcentral.